Non-coding RNA from Petromyzon marinus (sea lamprey), 486 nucleotides. Lineage: Eukaryota; Metazoa; Chordata; Hyperoartia; Petromyzontiformes; Petromyzontidae. The record is from RefSeq and is a predicted model, not a curated record.
UAUCAUCAUCAAUAUCAUCAUUCACAUUGACGCCAUCAACAUCAACAACAUUACCAUCAACAUCACAAAUAUUGACGCCAUCAUCACCAUCGUCAACAUCACCAACAUCGCUUGCUACGAGAACGACGAUCAUCUCCACCACUCCCAUCUCCGCCAUCACGAACAACGUUGUGGAUUACGUGACGUGGAGUUUACAACACAAGCAGACAUGAGAUGAUCACGUGACACGAAGAUGACCAAUCGGCAGGUGCCAGCUGCGGCAUGCGUGCUGACAACGUUCCUGUGACCUCCUCUGACCUGCGAGCACCUCCUCUGACGCUUUGGAGACAACGAUGAUGACGACGGAGAUGCCGCUUGGUGACGAUGCGACUCCACCGCUGACUCCACCCGUGGACAUCAAGGUCACGGCCACUGAGGAGGAGGAGAAGGAGGUGGAGGAGGACAUGGAGGUGGUGGUAGAGGAGGAGGAUGAUGAGGAGGAAGAGG